Molecule: long non-coding RNA, 484 nt
Organism: Suricata suricatta (meerkat)
Lineage: Eukaryota; Metazoa; Chordata; Mammalia; Carnivora; Herpestidae
Exons: 2
Source: RefSeq, a predicted model, not a curated record
UCCUCCCAAAUCCCCCUCCUUCCUAUAGGACAGCUUUCCCCUCCUAACCUUGGCGACUUGCCUACGGUUUUGCCGUAGUAUGCUUGUCUCUGCUCUUCACAAAUAAACCCUUUAUUUUUGUUUUGUUUUGGUUUUGGGGGGAGGGGGCUGGUAAAAUAAUUGGCAGUUUUCUUUUGAAGGUUAACUUGAUGAUGAGAGGUGGGAUCCAGAGGAGACCCCCGACCACUUCGGAGGCUGAUUGCAAGGCUGCUAGAAGUAGGAAUUUCACCUUUUUAGAUGUAUCUUUUUCUGAAGACAUCGUGAUCAACUUUUAGCAGUUUCUGGACAACGUAUCUCAAUAAUGGACUGGUUUUCCAAAAGACUGAAAGCAAAAUAACUUGAACCUCUGAUAUUAUUAUCAUAUCUUAUUUUAGUAUAUGUGCUGCUGAAGCGAGCAAUAUUAUUAUAUCUUAAAGGAAGACCAAGUAAAGUACAUUGAACCAAA